GAAAGAGCAGGGCUAGAACAAAGGGACUGGACGGCCCGCGGCACUGAUCUCUAGAUUUGGACAGAAACUGAUGUUCACGAUGAUGGGUCCCGAGAUACGAAGAAGCCUAGAAGCGAUGAAUUGUCAGAGACCAGAGUACAGUCUUAAUUUUUUUGAAAAUUCCUAAGUGGAUUCAUGACAGUGUCCAUCUGUAACUCUUGAUCAAUGCCAAUGUUAACAUGCUCCAACAAGGCAACCGUCUGUCCAUGCUGGAGCAGCUCCAGUCACCUGGAUGUCCUCUCUGCCUGUAGUGGGCCAGGCUCCCGUAUUUGCACUUGCCCCUCCUGGGCCCGGCUCUUUGGAUCUCCCCCACCUGAGAGCUUCUGCAGGUCUUAGUCCAAGUGCCACUUCCGCGGGCUACCUCUUUGGAACAAGGCACAGAGAAGGAAAAGCAUUUACCCUCACACAGAAAUGUCCUAAGGACGUGACUCCCAGAGAUGUCCACAUGAAUGUGACUUUACUCUUUGAAGAGACACUCAUCCAGGCAAGUAGCUUGACUGUUCCUUACAGGAACUUCUAGAAAGAUCCAUCAAAUCCAUCCGUCAAAUGGAAAGAUCCAUCCAACAAUAUAAAGUAACAACAGACAUUUUAUGCCUCAAAAUUCUUUUGAACCCCUUGCCUUGAAAUUCUCCCUGCGGGGAUGCCUGGCUGGCUCAAUCAGUAAAGCGUGCAACUCUUGAUCUCAGGAUUGUAAG
Hyaena hyaena (striped hyena) is the source of this 734-nucleotide long non-coding RNA. RefSeq lists it as uncharacterized. The transcript has 4 exons. The record is from RefSeq and is a predicted model, not a curated record. Lineage: Eukaryota; Metazoa; Chordata; Mammalia; Carnivora; Hyaenidae.